This 312-nucleotide ribosomal RNA is filed under the name Triticum aestivum (bread wheat). RNAcentral describes it as "partial small subunit ribosomal RNA". Lineage: Eukaryota; Viridiplantae; Streptophyta; Magnoliopsida; Poales; Poaceae. The record is from RNAcentral.
AUGACAGCCAUGUUUUCCUUCGGCCUCGUGCUUCUGGAGAUCAUCACUGGCAAGAGAGCGGUCCUGUCCAACGAGCCCGACGAGGACGAAGAGACUCUGGUCUCUUGGGUCGGGUUGUCGCAGGUUCCAUGGAGCCCCCCUCCCCUCGUCAGGCUCGGCGCCAAGAGCGAGGAGCUGCUCUUCGCCUCGCCUCGCCUCGCACAAGCGACGUCGUCAGACCGCCCAUGGCGUGGACGGCGACGACGACAGGAGGAUGCCAGUUCUAGCCGGGAACAUGGCCUUGUCCUGCUCGAGGAGGAGGGACGCACCUAG